UUUACAGUACGUGUUAAAGAGAUGCAAACGCAAAAAAAGAGAGACGGCAGUGCGGGGAAACGGAGGAGAAAAUCGAACCAUCAGAAAAAGCUUCAGAGUGAAAAGACAGAGUUUUACACAAGUAGCAGCAAAAAAGAGGAACUCGUGUAAAGUAGAAAUGAGAAACAGGUGACCGGUGAACAAGGACACAGAGCAGGCGAUGAAGGACAUGAAGAAACCUGAAGUUGCGUGACUGAGUGCUGGCG
Molecule: long non-coding RNA, 245 nt
Organism: Tachysurus fulvidraco (yellow catfish)
Lineage: Eukaryota; Metazoa; Chordata; Actinopteri; Siluriformes; Bagridae
Exons: 2
Source: RefSeq, a predicted model, not a curated record